UGCAUGGUGGUGCAGAUGGUAGCACUGUUGCCUUGCAGCAGGAAGGGCCUGGGUUCAACUCCUGGCCAGGGCUCUUUUUGCAU
This is a non-coding RNA of Ataeniobius toweri, 83 nucleotides long. The record is from the annotation of a GenBank genome assembly. Lineage: Eukaryota; Metazoa; Chordata; Actinopteri; Cyprinodontiformes; Goodeidae.